Odocoileus virginianus texanus is the source of this 1462-nucleotide long non-coding RNA. RefSeq lists it as uncharacterized. The record is from RefSeq and is a predicted model, not a curated record. NCBI's taxonomy places the organism in Eukaryota, Metazoa, Chordata, Mammalia, Artiodactyla, Cervidae.
UUCAGGAACCCCCGGUACCCACCUCUCAAACUGCUGGAAACACUCAGAUCAGCAUUGUGAAAAUCCAUCUCAAGGAUUUUUCUGGAACUUGGCACCCUGCACUCAGCUGCUUGAUGUUCACAAAACAUUCCUGAAAAGAAGAAUGCUCUCUACUUAGUUGGCGGGUGCUUCAUGUACACGUCAUCAGCUCAAGCUCAAGAUGCCUAAGCCCAUGACAGCAAGCAGUGCUUAUGAAGGGUCCUAUUGAAUGGCUGAAGAAAGGUGAUCAGACAUCAGAAUUUAUAGCAGAGAAAGCAGCUGUUCUGUUCUGGAAAGUCAUGGAAUUGCUUUGGGGUGGUCCUCAAGAAGCAGUCAACAAACCUUCAGGUUAUGCCCACAUUUGAUGAGAAUGCUGACAGAUGAAGGCAUGCCUGUACUACGAUUUUUGCCGUGGACCACGAUCCUAGAUUUUGUGCUUGAAGACGCGGACAAAGCAGGUAAUUUCCAGUUUUCUCCUUUGCCGUCUUCAUCACAUCAACAAUAGCUUCCUUCAUGGAUAAGGGAGGUUCAUUAAUUGGAAGGGUCACAGAUAUGAUGACGUCCAGCAAAGUACUUAGGUUCCUGGACAAGAUGGUAGAGCAGAAGGACCUUGUGCUCACCUCCUCUCACAAGCACACCAAAGUUACCACUAACUGUUGAACAGCCGUUGAUAGAGACUGGAACCUACCAAAAAAGGUAUUCUAUAUCCAGAGACAUGAAGAACCCACAGCAAGACCGCAAGGGAUGCACUCUCGAUAUAAUCAAAUCCCAUACCCCCCAGACAGGCGACUGACAAACUGGGGAAUGAUUACAUUGCCGGAGCUCUCCCACAGGAGUGCGCUUUCCGAGCCCCACAUCAGAUUCUCCAGCCUGGGGGUCUGGCACUGGAGGAAGACCCGUCAGAGCUUUUGGCCUUGAACACCAAGGGGGCUUGAUUGCAGUUUUCCGCAGGACUGAGGGAAAGAGAGACUCACUCUUGGAGGGCGCACACGAGGUGUCAUGUGCCCUGGGACCCAGGGCAAAAGCAGCUGACUUCAUAGGAGCCUUUAACACUUAUCUGAAGAGAUAAUAGCUGAAAACAGCCAAGAACAGGAAGUGCAGGGAGUUCCAUACAGGAUUAACCCAGGGAGGGACAUGCCAAGACACAGUAGUAAUCAAACUCACAAAAAUUAAGGGGAAGAUAUUAAAAGCAUAAGGGAAAAGCAAUAAACAACGUACAAAGGAAUCCCUAUAAGGUUACCAGCUGAGUUUUUAGCAGAAACUCUGCAGGCCAAAAGGGAGUGGCAGGAUAUAUUUUAAAGUGAUGAAAGGGAAAAAACUUACACUACUCAACCCAGCAAGGUUCUUGUUCAGGUUUGAUGGGGAAAUAAAAAAUGGUACUGAAAAGAAAAGCUAAGAGAAUUCAGCAUCAUCAAACCAAUUUUAUAACAAACGCUCAAGGAAC